Pantherophis guttatus is the source of this 495-nucleotide long non-coding RNA. RefSeq lists it as uncharacterized. The record is from RefSeq and is a predicted model, not a curated record. Lineage: Eukaryota; Metazoa; Chordata; Lepidosauria; Squamata; Colubridae.
AGCAACCAGAGCCAGCUGCAGGAGCAGCUGUGUGGGCGCACACACAGUGGGGCGCAAGCCUAAGGUGCCACUUCCAGGCCGAGGGGCAACCCGAUGGUGUAGUAGAACCCUGACCUAUCCCAUCCGAUCGCUUCACCCUGCAGCCAGCUCUGUAGGCCUGCGCCCGCCUCCCACCUGUGCAGCAGCAGCCUACCAAUCCCAGUUGUAUCUCCUUGCCCUGCAACUGGCCCGAACACCCACCUUGGACUGCCUCUGACCGUUCCAGCAGACUAUCUUAAAGAAAAGGAUUUGUCCAUGUUUGAUGACCAGAUGGGAUAUUUGGUACAAGGAACAAAACCAGCAAAAUCCAACAAUUUUAUGCAAGUUGUCUGCAUUCAACCACUCGCAGGCUUUAUUUCUCAGCAGAAAAGGCUCAUUUGUUGGAACAGCACAAAUUAUGCUAGAAGAGAAGAAAUUUGUGUGGCAGGAGAAUAAAGUUGUGGUAAUGAUGAGAAA